Molecule: unclassified non-coding RNA, 221 nt
Filed under: uncultured Euzebyaceae bacterium
Lineage: Bacteria; Bacillati; Actinomycetota; Nitriliruptoria; Euzebyales; Euzebyaceae
Description: contains 16S-23S intergenic spacer region
Source: RNAcentral
UCCGGUUUGACACCGGCAGUCUCUCAUGAGUCCCCGACAUUACUCGCUGGCAACAUAAGACAGGGGUUGCGCUCGUUGCGGGACUUAACCCAACACCUCACGGCACGAGCUGACGACAACCAUGCACCACCUGUGUACGGCCCCGAAGGACACCAUAUCUCUAUGGCUUUUCCGUACAUUUCAAGCCUUGGUAAGGUGGGGAUGACGUUGGAGGAAUUCCA